RNAcentral lists this long non-coding RNA (387 nucleotides) under Capra hircus (goat). RNAcentral's name for it is "lncRNA (ENSCHIG00010012476.1)". Lineage: Eukaryota; Metazoa; Chordata; Mammalia; Artiodactyla; Bovidae. The record is from RNAcentral.
GAAAACAGGAGGAGUGAACUUCGAGACUGGAAUAAGGUUAGAGAAGAAAAAACACUUCAACCUACGUAUUAAUGGAGUCAGAAAAGUAUAGGGGAAAGAGUCAGCAAGACCCAUGUUCAAAAUUCACUGAGCCUCAGUUUCCUCAUCUGUAAAAUGGGAAUAACCUGCUGUAGCACAGUUGUGAACAUAGUAGUCCAAAGACUUCAAAAUAAAACAUUUCAAUCGACAGGGGCAGUAGUGGUAAGCCACGGAGUGGUGAAAUGGAGAUAUAAUUAGAGCUGAAGACUGACGAGUCAGGUGAAAAUAUUCCAUUAGCAAAGGACAACACGACCAGAUUUUCUUCCAAAGUGGCACCAUUCUAAAAUGUCCUUAUUGUAUCUGUGCCUG